AACGAACGCUGGCGGCGUGGAUAAGACAUGCAAGUCGAACGGGACAACAUUUGUAGCAAUACCGAUGUUGUUUAGUGGCGAACGGAUGCGUAACACGUGGGCAAUCUGCCGAGAAGUGGGGGAUAGCUCGCCGAAAGGCGAAUUAAUACCGCAUAUGAUCAGAGGAGACAUUCCUUCGACAUCAAAGCCGGGGCAACCUGGCGCUUUUUGAGGAGCCCGCGGCCUANCAGCUAGUUGGUGAGGUAACGGCUCACCAAGGCUUUGACGGGUAGCUGGUCUGAGAGGACGACCAGUCACACUGGAACUGAGACACGGUCCAGACACCUACGGGUGGCAGCAGUCGAGAAUUUUUCUCAAGUGGGGCAACCCUGAAGGAGCGACGCCGCGUGGAGGAU
This 395-nucleotide ribosomal RNA is filed under the name uncultured bacterium. RNAcentral's name for it is "bacterial SSU rRNA". It matches the Rfam family "Bacterial small subunit ribosomal RNA", at positions 29 to 409 of the family's 1533-position model. The record is from RNAcentral.